This 520-nucleotide ribosomal RNA is filed under the name Phomopsis asparagi. RNAcentral describes it as "eukaryotic LSU rRNA". It matches the Rfam family "Eukaryotic large subunit ribosomal RNA", at positions 87 to 632 of the family's 3401-position model. Lineage: Eukaryota; Fungi; Ascomycota; Sordariomycetes; Diaporthales; Diaporthaceae. The record is from RNAcentral.
CGGCGAGUGAAGCGGCAACAGCUCAAAUUUGAAAUCUGGCCUCGGCCCGAGUUGUAAUUUGCAGAGGAUGCUUCUGGCGCGGUGCCUUCCGAGUUCCCUGGAACGGGACGCCACAGAGGGUGAGAGCCCCGUAUGGUCGGACACCAAGCCUGUGUGAAGCUCCUUCGACGAGUCGAGUAGUUUGGGAAUGCUGCUCUAAAUGGGAGGUAAAUCUCUUCUAAAGCUAAAUACCGGCCAGAGACCGAUAGCGCACAAGUAGAGUGAUCGAAAGAUGAAAAGCACCUUGAAAAGGGGGUUAAAUAGUACGUGAAAUUGUUGAAAGGGAAGCACUUGUGACCAGACUUGGGCCGGGCGGCUCAUCAGGGGUUCUCCCCUGUGCACUCCGCCCGGCACAGGCCAGCAUCGGUUCUCGUGGGGGGACAAGACCGUCAGGAACGUAGCACCCUCCGGGGUGUGUUAUAGCCUGGCGGACGAUACCCCCGUGGGGACCGAGGUUCGCGCUCCGCAAGGAUGCUGGCGU